RNAcentral lists this ribosomal RNA (253 nucleotides) under uncultured bacterium. RNAcentral's name for it is "partial 16S ribosomal RNA". It matches the Rfam family "Bacterial small subunit ribosomal RNA", at positions 524 to 776 of the family's 1533-position model. The record is from RNAcentral. RNAcentral also lists the same sequence under 1 other name.
UACGAAGGGGGCUAGCGUUGCUCGGAAUCACUGGGCGUAAAGGGCGCGUAGGCGGCCGGCCAAGUCGGGGGUGAAAGCCUGUGGCUCAACCACAGAAUGGCCCUCGAUACUGGCUGGCUCGAGACCGGAAGAGGUUGGUGGAAUUGCGAGUGUAGAGGUGAAAUUCGUAGAUAUUCGCAAGAACACCGGUGGCGAAGGCGGCCAACUGGUCCGGAUCUGACGCUGAGGCGCGAAAGCGUGGGGAGCAAACAGG